GGCCCGUUCGUCUAUCGGCUAGGACGCCAGGUUUUCAUCCUGGUAAGAGGGGUUCGACUCCCCUACGGGCUACUA
This 75-nucleotide transfer RNA is filed under the name Flavobacteriaceae bacterium. RNAcentral's name for it is "tRNA-Glu". It matches the Rfam family "tRNA". Rfam says of the family: Transfer RNA (tRNA) molecules are approximately 80 nucleotides in length. Their secondary structure includes four short double-helical elements and three loops (D, anti-codon, and T loops). Further hydrogen bonds mediate the characteristic L-shaped molecular structure. tRNAs have two regions of fundamental functional importance: the anti-codon, which is responsible for specific mRNA codon recognition, and the 3' end, to which the tRNAs corresponding amino acid is attached (by aminoacyl-tRNA synthetases). tRNAs cope with the degeneracy of the genetic code in two manners: having more than one tRNA (with a specific anti-codon) for a particular amino acid; and 'wobble' base-pairing, i.e. permitting non-standard base-pairing at the 3rd anti-codon position. Lineage: Bacteria; Pseudomonadati; Bacteroidota; Flavobacteriia; Flavobacteriales; Flavobacteriaceae. The record is from RNAcentral.